This 973-nucleotide small RNA is filed under the name Arabidopsis thaliana (thale cress). Its description in RNAcentral is "ATSL027400". Lineage: Eukaryota; Viridiplantae; Streptophyta; Magnoliopsida; Brassicales; Brassicaceae. The record is from RNAcentral.
AUAUUUCUUUGGUAAAUGAUAAAUAAUCUGGACAGUUGCAGAAUAUUAGUGUAUAAUACUUAUAAUAUUAUUUAGGGGUUAUUGUCAAAAGAGGAUGUUUUUUGAUAAAAAUUUUGAUUUUGAGGCUUUUGUGUAUGAUCUUUGAAAAAGAGUAGUUUUGAUAGGGCGAUUUGAUCAUUUUACCCCUGAAUAAUCUCAUCAUCUUCUCUCAUCAUCUUCUUGCACGCUCCUCUUCUUUUAAAUCCAAUUUUUUUUCCAAAUCUCAUAUUCUUAAAAUCUAUUCUAACUAAAAACAUUCAUUGAUUCACAAUAAUUAAACCCUAAAGAUGAUAGUAUUUAUGAAACCAAAGCAAAAAAUUAAACGAACGAAAUGAAAUCAUCUUGCAAAUGAAGAAGAAGGUGAAUAGUAAAAACAGAGUUUCAGAUUUGUGGCAGAUCUGCAAUCGAGUAUUCGAAAUCAAAGCUUUUCAAUAAUCAUUUGCGUCCUCACUAUUCACCAUUAAUGAUAUUUUGUUUAUUGGAAGAGAAUUCCAUUCAAAAACUAAACCCUAAUGAUUAUUGUAAAGGGAACCCAAGCAAAAAAAAUCAAACGCACAUUGAUAAGUUUCUGAGAUAGAAUCUGAUGAUAAAGAGGAAGAUCAGAGAAAAGAAAAAGAAACUGAGCCAUCUCUCUCAUGAUUCACGGCCGCCGACGCCGUUCGUUACCAUUGAAGGAGCUCAUCUUAAGGGACAAAACCAAUCAACUAUCGUCACCGGAGCUAGCCCCGCUUCAAUCACGUUGUAAAAAAUCAAUUGAUCUGCAGAGAGAGAAAGAGAUUUGAUGGAAACGGAGACAGAUCCAGUUGUUAAUGGCGAUGAUGAUGGCGUCGGUGGUUACGUUGGUGAUGAUGAUGAUGAGGGUUGAUAACGACGACGACGACAACACAAAAAAGUCAUACAAUUUUUAUUUGUUUUUGUGGUUUUUUAGACAAAU